RGAGUUUGAUCCUGGCUCAGAACGAACGCUGGCGGSGUGCCUAACACAUGCAAGUCGAACGUGAUCCAGAGCUUGCUCUGGUGAAAGUGGCSCACGGGUGAGUAACGCGUGGAUAACCUACCCUGGUAUCCGGGAUAACAUUCCGAAAGGGGKGCUAAUACCGGAUAAGCCCACGGGCUCUUUGGAGCUUGCGGGAAAAGGUGGCCUCUAUUUAUAAGCUACUGUAUCAGGAUGGGUCCGCGUACCAUUAGCUAGUUGGCGGUGUAACGGACCACCAAGGCGACGAUGGUUAGCUGGUCUGAGAGGAUGAUCAGCCACACUGGAACUGAGACACGGUCCAGACUCCUACGGGAGGCAGCAGUGGGGAAUUUUGCGCAAUGGGGGAAACCCUGACGCAGCAACGCCGCGUGAGUGAUGAAGGCCUUUGGGUCGUAAAGCUCUGUCAGAGGGGAAGAAAUGAUAUAGUGCUAAUACCACUUUAUCUUGACGGUACCCUCAAAGGAAGCACCGGCUAACUCCGUGCCAGCAGCCGCGGAAUAC
This 540-nucleotide ribosomal RNA is filed under the name uncultured Geobacteraceae bacterium. Its description in RNAcentral is "bacterial SSU rRNA". It matches the Rfam family "Bacterial small subunit ribosomal RNA", at positions 8 to 526 of the family's 1533-position model. Lineage: Bacteria; Pseudomonadati; Thermodesulfobacteriota; Desulfuromonadia; Geobacterales; Geobacteraceae. The record is from RNAcentral.